Non-coding RNA from Anncaliia algerae PRA339, 161 nucleotides. It matches the Rfam family "RNase MRP". Rfam says of the family: RNase MRP is an enzymatically active ribonucleoprotein with two distinct roles in eukaryotes. In mitochondria it plays a direct role in the initiation of mitochondrial DNA replication. In the nucleus it is involved in precursor rRNA processing, where it cleaves the internal transcribed spacer 1 between 18S and 5.8S rRNAs. NCBI's taxonomy places the organism in Eukaryota, Fungi, Microsporidia, Tubulinosematidae. The record is from Rfam.
GGUAAUCCCAAAGAACAGCUACGGAGUGCUUAGGCACUCUGGGGAAAGUCCUCGGACAUACUGCAGAAAUGCGUCCUGAAAGGGGUAUUCUAGUCAUGUGAUAAAGUUAUGCUGUUAGGUAUUGGUCUACUGAACACAAUGAGGCUUACUCUUGGGAGUAC